CGAUUCCCCUCCUUUAAACCUCAGCUGGAAGGGAAAUCAGUUGCAUCGAGGAUCCACAGUUUAUGACUGAUGGAUUGUGAGGCGACAUCUCCUUCUCCGUGACAACGUCAGUGGACCGUGACCGGGCCACGAUAGUGGUGCGGACCUCGUCCCAAUGAAGAUCAAGUGGAUACUCCUCUACUAGACCAGCCUAAGGAAGAACCACUUUCUUUACCUUCCCCUGCCCACCCAACAGUGCAAAAAACGCAGAAGACCCUGGAAGUCAAAUUCCCAAUUUAUUCGAUGAACUUUCAGUUUAUAACAACCUUCCCAACCUACCUCUUUUCUCCUCAAAAAAGGGCACCUCUUCUUUGUUCCCUGGA
This is a long non-coding RNA of Mustela lutreola (European mink), 362 nucleotides long. RefSeq lists it as uncharacterized. The record is from RefSeq and is a predicted model, not a curated record. NCBI's taxonomy places the organism in Eukaryota, Metazoa, Chordata, Mammalia, Carnivora, Mustelidae. The transcript has 3 exons.